AACAUCAGACAUGUUGAUAUGUGUUGUAGUGGUUUAAUAUCAGAACAUCAGACAUGUUGAUAUGUGUUGUAGUGGUUAAUAUCAGAACAUCAGACAUGUUAAUAUGUGUUGUAGUGGUUUAAUAUCAGAACAUCAGACAUGUUAAUAUGUGUUGUAGUGGUUUAAUACUAUCAGAACAUCAGACAUGUUGAUAUGUGUUGUAGUGGUUAAUAAUAUCAGAACAUCAGACAUGUUGAUAUGUGUUGUAGUGGUUUAAUAAUAUCAGAACAUCAGACAUGUUAAUAUGUGUUGUAGUGGGUUUAAUAUCAGAACAUCAGAACAUCAGACAUGUUGAUAUGUGUUGUAGUGGUUUAAUAUCAGAACAUCAGACAUGUUAAUAUGUGUUGUAGUGGUUUAAUAAUAUCAGAACAUCAGACAUGUUGAUAUGUGUUGUAGUGGUUUAAUAAUAUCAGAACAUCAGACAUGUUGAUAUGUGUUGUAGUGGUUUAAUAUCAGAACAUCAGACAUGUUGAUAUGUUGGUUGGGGAGGUGGAUUAUUCUGCAUCAGAAGGUUGGGUUUUGGUUGGGGAGGUGGAUGGGCAUUACUCUGCAUCAGAAGGUUGGGUUUUGGUUGGGGAGGUUGAUGGGCAUUACUCUGGAUCUGAA
This 645-nucleotide long non-coding RNA is filed under the name Salmo trutta (river trout). Its description in RNAcentral is "lncRNA (ENSSTUG00000003374.1)". The record is from RNAcentral. Lineage: Eukaryota; Metazoa; Chordata; Actinopteri; Salmoniformes; Salmonidae.